UCCGUAGGUGAACCUGCGGAAGGAUCAUUACUGAGUUCAUGCCCUCACGGGUAGAUCUCCACCCUUGAAUACAAACUCUUGUUGCUUUGGCGGGCCGCUUCGGCUACUGGCUUCGGCUGGUGAGUGCCCGCCAGAGAGCCCUAAACUUUGAAUUACAGUGUCGUCUGAGUACUAUAUAAUAGUUAAAACUUUCAACAACGGAUCUCUUGGUUCUGGCAUCGAUGAAGAACGCAGCGAAAUGCGAUAAGUAAUGUGAAUUGCAGAAUUCAGUGAAUCAUCGAAUCUUUGAACGCACAUUGCGCCCCUUGGUAUUCCGGGGGGCAGUGCCUGCUUUCGAGCGUCAUUAUAACCCUCAAGCCUAGCUUGGUGUUGGAGCAUGCUACCUAAGCAGCUCUUAAAAUCAGUGGCAGUGCCCUUCGGCUCUAAGCGUAGUAACUUCUCUCGCUAUGGAACCCGGAGGGUACGCGCCAGAACCCCACCUUACUUCAUGUGGUCCUCGGAUCAGGUAGGGAUACCCGCUGAACUUAAGCAUAUCAAUAAGCGGAGGGAAGUCGGACUGGCCAAGGGGCACACCAGGGGGGGGGAUA
RNAcentral lists this ribosomal RNA (587 nucleotides) under uncultured fungus. RNAcentral's name for it is "eukaryotic LSU rRNA". The stretch from base 187 to 343 matches the Rfam family "5.8S ribosomal RNA". The record is from RNAcentral. Lineage: Eukaryota; Fungi.